Molecule: non-coding RNA, 262 nt
Organism: Schizosaccharomyces pombe (fission yeast)
Lineage: Eukaryota; Fungi; Ascomycota; Schizosaccharomycetes; Schizosaccharomycetales; Schizosaccharomycetaceae
Source: the annotation of a GenBank genome assembly
GUUAGAACGAUGCAAAAAAAGGUUUCCGGUAAGUAAUCAACGAUAUUUACGAGUUAAGUCGGGAGACGUUCAAUUCUACUUAGAGUGAAACAUUGAAAGCUAUGGUUGAAAAUAUUAUACUUAAAACUAUACGUGAAAUGCCAUCGGUGCGUAUCUGUGAAUAAUCCUCAUAAAAAUCCAAGCUACAAGAAAACGCUAUUAGCCAUGCUUGUUGAACGCAAUCGCAUUUUGUAACGUUAAAUAAAUUUACAUAUGCCCGAGA